UACGUAGGGGGCUAGCGUUAUCCGGAUUUACUGGGCGUAAAGGGUGCGUAGGUGGUUUCUUAAGUCAGGAGUGAAAGGCUACGGCUCAACCGUAGUAAGCUCUUGAAACUGGGAAACUUGAGUGCAGGAGAGGAAAGUGGAAUUCCUAGUGUAGCGGUGAAAUGCGUAGAUAUUAGGAGGAACACCAGUAGCGAAGGCGGCUUUCUGGACUGUAACUGACACUGAGGCACGAAAGCGUGGGGAGCAAACAGGAUUAGAUACCCUGGGUAGUCCACGCCGUAAACGAUGAGUACUAGGUGUCGGGGGGUUACCCCCCUCGGUGCCGCAGCUAACGCAUUAAGUACUCCGCCUGGGGAGUACGCUCGCAAGAGUGAAACUCAA
This 381-nucleotide ribosomal RNA is filed under the name uncultured bacterium. RNAcentral's name for it is "bacterial SSU rRNA". It matches the Rfam family "Bacterial small subunit ribosomal RNA", at positions 524 to 904 of the family's 1533-position model. The record is from RNAcentral.